Mauremys reevesii (Reeves's turtle) is the source of this 561-nucleotide long non-coding RNA. RefSeq lists it as uncharacterized. The record is from RefSeq and is a predicted model, not a curated record. Lineage: Eukaryota; Metazoa; Chordata; Testudines; Geoemydidae. The transcript has 3 exons.
AGAGGGUGAGCUGUGUGUAGGAGAGAAAGCUGUGUGUGAAAGGCUCCCUGUGCUCAAGCCAGGAAACUGAGGAUUAAAGGCUGGAGGAGUCACAGGAUUUUGGAGCUUCCCCCUCUAAAUCACUGAUUCAAAUCUGACUCAGGCUGACAGUGGAUAAAAGGUAUUUCAUCUGCAGGCUGUUUGCUAGCCUAUGUGAAUAGAGUUGAUGAUCUCAAGUCUGCUGGUUUAAUGGAAAAACAACCAAAAAAACCUAGAGAUGGUCCGUUCUGGUCAGGAGAGCAACACAUCAGGGAGUCUCAACAGACCUCACCCACCUCAUAUUUCUUCUGAGAACAAAUAAAGGUUUCCAGUCUCCAGGACUGUCCGCUCAUCUUCCAUGGGUGACAUAUACUGAAAAAUUGAAAUUUUCUUUAAACAUCCUUUGCUGGGUUUCUGCUUGAAACAUAGAAUCAGAUCUUUUAUUUUAAGCCAAUACAAAAAGUUCCAAGAUAUUACAGCAUUGAGAACUUUAGCAAUGCAUAUAAUUUCAUUCGUAAUAAAAUUACUGUGGUUUCUGUUUUA